Molecule: ribosomal RNA, 1543 nt
Filed under: Escherichia coli
Lineage: Bacteria; Pseudomonadati; Pseudomonadota; Gammaproteobacteria; Enterobacterales; Enterobacteriaceae
Description: bacterial SSU rRNA
Rfam family: Bacterial small subunit ribosomal RNA
Source: RNAcentral
AAAUUGAAGAGUUUGAUCAUGGCUCAGAUUGAACGCUGGCGGCAGGCCUAACACAUGCAAGUCGAACGGUAACAGGAAGAAGCUUGCUUCUUUGCUGACGAGUGGCGGACGGGUGAGUAAUGUCUGGGAAACUGCCUGAUGGAGGGGGAUAACUACUGGAAACGGUAGCUAAUACCGCAUAACGUCGCAAGACCAAAGAGGGGGACCUUCGGGCCUCUUGCCAUCGGAUGUGCCCAGAUGGGAUUAGCUAGUAGGUGGGGUAACGGCUCACCUAGGCGACGAUCCUAGCUGGUCUGAGAGGAUGACCAGCCACACUGGAACUGAGACACGGUCCAGACUCCUACGGGAGGCAGCAGUGGGGAAUAUUGCACAAUGGGCGCAAGCCUGAUGCAGCCAUGCCGCGUGUAUGAAGAAGGCCUUCGGGUUGUAAAGUACUUUCAGCGGGGAGGAAGGGAGUAAAGUUAAUACCUUUGCUCAUUGACGUUACCCGCAGAAGAAGCACCGGCUAACUCCGUGCCAGCAGCCGCGGGUAAUACGGAGGGUGCAAGCGUUAAUCGGAAUUACUGGGCGUAAAGCGCACGCAGGCGGUUUGUUAAGUCAGAUGUGAAAUCCCCGGGCUCAACCUGGGAACUGCAUCUGAUACUGGCAAGCUUGAGUCUCGUAGAGGGGGGUAGAAUUCCAGGUGUAGCGGUGAAAUGCGUAGAGAUCUGGAGGAAUACCGGUGGCGAAGGCGGCCCCCUGGACGAAGACUGACGCUCAGGUGCGAAAGCGUGGGGAGCAAACAGGAUUAGAUACCCUGGUAGUCCACGCCGUAAACGAUGUCGACUUGGAGGUUGUGCCCUUGAGGCGUGGCUUCCGGAGCUAACGCGUUAAGUCGACCGCCUGGGGGAGUACGGCCGCAAGGUUAAAACUCAAAUGAAUUGACGGGGGCCCGCACAAGCGGUGGAGCAUGUGGUUUAAUUCGAUGCAACGCGAAGAACCUUACCUGGUCUUGACAUCCACAGAACUUUCCAGAGAUGGAUUGGUGCCUUCGGGAACUGUGAGACAGGUGCUGCAUGGCUGUCGUCAGCUCGUGUUGUGAAAUGUUGGGUUAAGUCCCGCAACGAGCGCAACCCUUAUCCUUUGUUGCCAGCGGUCCGGCCGGGAACUCAAAGGAGACUGCCAGUGAUAAACUGGAGGAAGGUGGGGAUGACGUCAAGUCAUCAUGGCCCUUACGACCAGGGCUACACACGUGCUACAAUGGCGCAUACAAAGAGAAGCGACCUCGCGAGAGCAAGCGGACCUCAUAAAGUGCGUCGUAGUCCGGAUUGGAGUCUGCAACUCGACUCCAUGAAGUCGGAAUCGCUAGUAAUCGUGGAUCAGAAUGCCACGGUGAAUACGUUCCCGGGCCUUGUACACACCGCCCGUCACACCAUGGGAGUGGGUUGCAAAAGAAGUAGGUAGCUUAACCUUCGGGAGGGCGCUUACCACUUUGUGAUUCAUGACUGGGGUGAAGUCGUAACAAGGUAACCGUAGGGGAACCUGCGGUUGGAUCACCUCCUUA